RNAcentral lists this ribosomal RNA (41 nucleotides) under Saccharomyces cerevisiae (brewer's yeast). Its description in RNAcentral is "partial 28S ribosomal RNA". The record is from RNAcentral. Lineage: Eukaryota; Fungi; Ascomycota; Saccharomycetes; Saccharomycetales; Saccharomycetaceae.
ACCCGCUGAACUUAAGCAUAUCAAUAAGCGGAGGAAAAAGA